Acinonyx jubatus (cheetah) is the source of this 826-nucleotide long non-coding RNA. RefSeq lists it as uncharacterized. The transcript has 3 exons. NCBI's taxonomy places the organism in Eukaryota, Metazoa, Chordata, Mammalia, Carnivora, Felidae. The record is from RefSeq and is a predicted model, not a curated record.
GCGAGCGGCCGCCAUUCCGCAGCCAACCGCCAUCACCGUGGCAAGGCCGGCAGGACGCGCAAUGCUGCCUGUCCUGCUGAUCCUCUCAGGCCUGGGCCGGCUGACCUCCGCCGGCCAUCGUGAGUGUAGGACCUGCUCCGUAGAGGGUCACCUGUCGCAGAGCCUGUGGGCGUGGCGGGCUCCAGAAGCUUGCUCCAGAACCCUGUGCCCGGCUGGGGGGAGCCCUGCGUCCUGUCAGAGCCCGCCUAGAGUCAGGAUCCUGCGGGGCCUGCUGCUGGGAGGGCUCAGAACAGUACUGGGACAGUUGUCCUCACGUGCCUGACCCUGCACUUGGAGGAGGGGGCGAGCAGCUUCUGGGAGGUGGGGCCUCCAGAGCAGCUCUUCUUCACCUAUUGGGGCUGAGAUCCUGAAACGUCACUUCUACAAAUUACAGUGCCACGGAAGACUGGGGCAAACACUGAUGAUGGCAAAGUUUCUUAAAUAUUUCAAAGAAGGAAAGGAGGUUCAGAAGUGGAAAAUGACUCACAUGGGGCUGCUUGAUAGGUGCCAGAAUUGAGAUUCAAACACGCUCCAUUUGGCACCACAACCUGAGCUUUUUGCUGUACAGUGCACUGCUCCCUACCUUUUUUAUCCUCUGCUCCUCUCUGUAUGAGAGCUGAAAUAAUAAGGCAGAGUGUCAUCUGUUCAACUUCAGAUGAAAAUGUGAACCUUGGUGUGACUUUUUUUUUUUACCUUGAGCAUGAAUUCAAAUGACCAAGAGAGAUCUAUAAAUAUUGAUUUGGGGUUAUAAACCCUAGCAAGUAGGCAAAUUUACAAAUAUGGAAUA